Aquila chrysaetos chrysaetos is the source of this 2593-nucleotide long non-coding RNA. RefSeq lists it as uncharacterized. NCBI's taxonomy places the organism in Eukaryota, Metazoa, Chordata, Aves, Accipitriformes, Accipitridae. The record is from RefSeq and is a predicted model, not a curated record. The transcript has 2 exons.
ACUUUAGUUGCAAUUCUGCUCUUUCAACAGAUAAGUGAAAGCAAAACUUGGAAAUAAAAAUGAUUCAUUGAAAACUGCAGGAUCUAUCAGUUAAAGCUGCCCUAUUUGGGUUUCCAUGAUAAUGCAGGUAGGCUUCACAGGUGACAAUUGGAAAUUAUCACACCAUCUUUUUUCACUUGAAUUAGAUAAAAUUAGCAUCCAAGAAAUACGAUAGUGCAAAAAAAUGCAGCUCCAGCACUUCAUCAGGACACUCCAUAUCAGAAUCCUACCAAAAGGAUUCAAGCACUAGCUUUUAGGUCUACUUCAGGCAUUUAUUUGCAACACAGCAUUAGAUGUUCUCCUUUUAAGUGAAAGGCCAGAGUGCUGCUAGCAGCUAGACCCCCAGAAGUUUACUAAAACUCACAACAGAAGUAUGAGAUCAGGACUAAAAGAAGUGGUGAAAGAUUCUUGAGAAAGCAUACUACUUGGGGCGCAAGGGGAAAUCUCUCUGCUUUUCUCAUCCUUCAGAGGUGUAUUUCUGUGAGCCCUAGCAUACCUCCUGACCCUUAUCAUGCUGCUAAAGUUGGGAAGUGCACAAGUCUCCCCAUGGCAAGAUGUCCCUGGUGCCUCACUCAGGCUCAUGCCCUGCAUUAAUACCUCUUGGGAGGACUCCACAAAGCUUCAGACUUUACAACAAGAAUGUGGCAGCGCAAUCCACAGCAGGAGCUUCCUGCGAGCUUAGAGGAAUUGCCCAGAGGCAACUUGCACCCAGUUGAAGAAGCAGACAAGAGGUACUUAAACACCUGUGCUGUAGUAGCCUUUGACAAGCCUUAGACAGCAAUAGAAAUGGUAAAGGUACGCUUUUCUCCUGUGAAAAUCCCGAUUACUCAAGUAAGCAAGAUAUCUGUCGUCUCCUUUCUCACAAUACACGUCUACCUUUUAUACAAGGGAAAUGGAGUGGUAAUAAGUCACUUGCUUCUAUCCCAGAGAAAGAGAGACUGUACAAAGGAUGCUAAGACAUUCUGGUUGAGGUUUACAUUAAGUAAAAUAGCACCCUGCUACUCUCCUGUCCCUCCAUACUCCCUCUGAGUUCUUAUGAAACAGGACUGCCUCCAUCUAUUAAGGAGAGGCCCAGAAAUAGCUUUCUAGAUGUUUGCUGUCUUUCCGGUCAUUUCUUCUAUGUUGUUAUACAGACUAUGCACCAUUUGUUAUCUUCUAUGGCAUGUGUCAGAGCAUGUUUCUGCUGCAAUAUGCUGUCAUUAAAGGUUUGGUCACUGUGGUGCCAGACCAUGGAAUAAGUAACAGAAGGAGCUGCAUCUGCAAAAGAGCCAAGUGACCGCAUCACUGCCAGAAAGCACAACAGUUGCAAAGUUGCCUGGCUGCUUGUUUCAGAACAAGAAGUGAACUCGCUCAAUGCCAGAGGCUGGAUUGCUUGCUCCCCUGUCCUCUCAUUAGAUUGCAACCUGCAUGCCGGAUGGCAGAACUACCAUCACCCUCUUUCCCUUUUGCUCCUUUAUUAACUAGACACAAGUGUCUGACAGCUACUACUGAUUAGAGUAUGGCAAUUAAAAGUGAACUUAAUUCCACUUCAUCCUUUGCUUCUACCAUACAGAAGAUAUUUUUCCUACUCCUGACAAGGCUUUUCAUCAACUCCUGAUCCUUCAGUCAUCUUUCCUCCUCCACCUCAUGCUCCCAUGCCAUCCCACCUCUGGAACUACAGCAGCUCUCCUCUGACCUCCGCAGCACACAACUCCUGCUGGCUGUGGGGUCUGCAGCAGGAGGGCUGUGGGAACCAGGGGUGGGACAGAUUCUGGCCCUACAGCCUUGUCUUGCUUCACCUCACAGCACUACUCAUAUAUUCCCAUUAUGCAGGGCCUGCAUGAAACUCCACAAGGUACUGUUGUUUCUUCAAACCAUUAAACAUGUGUUCAGAGACUAAUUCCUACUUUCAAGGAUCCCUGCUGACAACAGGAUUUUUGCAGGCUGUGAGUUAAAGAACCUAUUUGCAGGAAAUUACUGUGCAGCUCCUACACAGUAAUUACACUGACAGCUCCUCAGUCAUCUCUCUCAAACACAUCCAAGUUCAAUACCUGUUUUAAGACCAUGAAAGAAUAUCUAUAACAAAAAAAAAAAAAAGUAAACACAUGAAAGCAUUCUAGAUCAUGAGUAAUACAGAAUGUGAUCCUCCUAGGCGAUGAAAGUGGCUGAAACUCAUCAGCCGCUUCUAAAUAAUUCAGAAUGUUGUUUGACCACAUCUAAGCUCAGUGUUAAUUUGUACUCUUGCUUUCCUCUUGAGUAAUGUGUAACUGAACGUUGAUUAAUUCAGUGAUUAAUCUCAAGUAGAAAUAAAGUAAAUAGUUUCAAGGUGGAUGUAACAGUCACAAGUGGGUUUAAGCAUGGUAGCAUGCAGUCCUGUACCAAAGACAUUCAAUUUCAGUUUAUUAAGCUUUUACUUAGAUUCACCCUAAACUGUGUACAAAAGCCUUCCUCUUUCUUUCCCUUUAGAAAUCCACAGGGUAGUCUGGACACUGCAUCCAUAGAUACAGCAAUUUGGGGAAGCUUUAUUUUAAAGUGAUAUUACAAACAUAUGUUUUCAUAAACCAAGCUUUUUUUU